This 1248-nucleotide long non-coding RNA is filed under the name Ursus maritimus (polar bear). RNAcentral's name for it is "lncRNA (ENSUMAG00000000561.1)". Lineage: Eukaryota; Metazoa; Chordata; Mammalia; Carnivora; Ursidae. The record is from RNAcentral.
UAUCUAUUAAAUAAAUCCUACAUUUUUUAUAGCAAUGAUCACUUCCUUUGGAUGAGCUAGAUUCAAAUAAAGUUCCAGGUCACUUCUGGCCUGUAUCUCUUGUUUCAUCUCCAGAGGAAGAAGCUGGCCUCGGCACAACUCCAAUGGAAGGAAUCAUCAUAUUACCUGUUCUGCCUGUUUUAAUCAUGAUGCCCCUCUGGUGAAGGAAAUGAGAUUGCAGAUUCAGAUUCAGCAAACUUUUAUGGGGGACGUACUGUCAUGUGGCAGGCCAUCUCACAGGAAUCCAUGCAUUUCAAUGUCUUGUCCGGCCAUUAAAAUAUUCCUAGGAUCCAGAAGUGCUGCAGAUAUGCAUACACAAAUAUGGAGAGGUUCUGGAGAACUGAAGGGGUUCGAAUUCCCGUGGGUACACUUGUUCUGUUUCUCCUCAUUCAUUCCUUAUCCAUUCUUUCCUCCUCUCAUUCAUCAAAUACUUUGAGCACUUCCUCUAUUAGCAGCGGCUGGAAACAACCCGAUCUCGGAUACCAGGACCUACCAGUACCGGGUCCCUGACCUUGAGGAAUUCCUGGGUCCUGGUGGGCGGAGGCACCUGGAGAUAGAUGGUUUCAGGACAGGGAGAUAAGUGAUAACAGCACAGAGACGACCGAAAGGUCAUUGGAGCCUGGAAGAACGAUCCACCAACUUUUCCAAGGAGGAAGGGAGGGUUCUGCGGAGAAGACCGACGUUGAAAUGUAGGAAGUUCUUGAGGAAGACGUCGAGGCAUCAGGGCGCCAGAGGAGCUACUGGAGCCAGCCUCCAGGCUGCUCGAUGUGGCCCUCUCGCGAGGCGGGGCAGUACCGGGGCUGAUGUGCAGCCCCAUCUGUUUCCUUGGGGUUUCUCAAAUUUAUUUCAAACUUCACAAGAGUACUCACACCCCCUCUUUUUUGGUCUCCCCAACUUAACUGUCCUAUCCAACUUACCCUGCUUGAGUUUUCUCACAGCACUUUACACGUUCUAAAUAUGCUAUGUCACAUCUGGUGUGUUUACGACCUGUUUGGUCCUCCUCCAAGGUAAGCUGAAGGGGAGGAUCGUUUAUUUCAUUCACUGUGGUGGCCCCCGAGCUCCUGGAAAAGUGCUUAGUCCAUUCACAAUAGGUUCCUGAUAAAUAAUGGGAAUGACCUGAAAGAGCGAAUUUCUGUAUCCAUGACAUAAUUUGUAUGUGCUCAUCGCUGAAGGAAGGUUUAGAGGAAAAUAAAGGCCGACAAGGGACCA